UGGGGAAUCUUGGACAAUGGGCGCAAGCCUGAUCCAGCAAUGCCGCGUGCAGGAUGAAGGCCUUCGGGUUGUAAACUGCUUUUGUACGGAGCGAAAAGGUCUGCCCUAAUACGGUGGGCUCAUGACGGUACCGUAAGAAUAAGCACCGGCUAACUACGUGCCAGCAGCCGCGGCAAUACGAAGGGGGCUAGCGUUGCUCGGAAUUACUGGGCGUAAAGCGUGCGCAGGCGGUUAUGCAAGACAGAGGUGAAAUCCCCGGGCUCAACCUGGGAACUGCCUUUGUGACUGCAUAGCUAGAGUACGGUAGAGGGGGAUGGAAUUCCGCGUGUAGCAGUGAAAUGCGUAGAUAUGCGGAGGAACACCGAUGGCGAAGGCAGCCUCCUGGGCCAGUACUGACGCUCAUGCACGAAAGCGUGGGGAGCAAACA
This 427-nucleotide ribosomal RNA is filed under the name uncultured bacterium. RNAcentral's name for it is "bacterial SSU rRNA". It matches the Rfam family "Bacterial small subunit ribosomal RNA", at positions 355 to 774 of the family's 1533-position model. The record is from RNAcentral.